UGACAUGAGGGCAGCCAGCACCCUGGUGCGAUCUCCUGGCCAGUUAGCAGCACACUAGGUCAAUGUUCUCCAAAAUGGCAUUUUGUCAGGCUGCUCCAGUGACCCCAACGGUGCAGAACUGGCUUUGUCCAUCCUACUGACUCGGGGGUUAGCACUUGACUUCAAGCAAAAUCCAGCUUUAAGCAGAUUCCCUCAGGAGCUCACAUGGAGAAGCUGCAAAGGCACAUCCUGGCCACAGAGAUAAAGGUAAUAAGUUACUUCAAGAAGGUGACACAUAUGGACAGCAAGGAUGACCUGAACAGCUCUCUCUCUCUCUC
Long non-coding RNA from Alligator sinensis (Chinese alligator), 317 nucleotides. RefSeq lists it as uncharacterized. The record is from RefSeq and is a predicted model, not a curated record. Lineage: Eukaryota; Metazoa; Chordata; Crocodylia; Alligatoridae. The transcript has 3 exons.